UACAGAGGGUGCGAGCGUUGUUCGGAAUUAUUGGGCGUAAAGCGCGUGUAGGCGGCCAACUAAGUCGGGUGUGAAAGCCCUCAGCUCAACUGAGGAAGUGCGCCCGAGACUGGAUGGCUUGAGUGCUGGAGAGGGUGGCGGAAUUCCCCAAGUAGAGGUGAAAUUCGUAGAGAUGGGGAGGAACACCGGAGGCGAAGGCGGCCACCUGGACGGUAACUGACGCUGAGACGCGAAAGCGUGGGGAGCAAACGGG
RNAcentral lists this ribosomal RNA (253 nucleotides) under uncultured bacterium. RNAcentral describes it as "partial 16S ribosomal RNA". It matches the Rfam family "Bacterial small subunit ribosomal RNA", at positions 524 to 776 of the family's 1533-position model. The record is from RNAcentral.